AUUGAACGCUGGCGGCAUGCCUUACACAUGCAAGUCAAACGGCAGCACGGGUGCUUGCACCUGGUGGCGAGUGGCGAACGGGUGAGUAAUACAUCGGAACAUGUCCUGUAGUGGGGGAUAGCCCGGCGAAAGCCGGAUUAAUACCGCAUACGAUCUACGGAUGAAAGCGGGGGACCUUCGGGCCUCGCGCUAUAGGGUUGGCCGAUGGCUGAUUAGCUAGUUGGUGGGGUAAAGGCCUACCAAGGCGACGAUCAGCAGCUGGUCUGAGAGGACGACCAGCCACACUGGGACUGAGACACGGCCCAGACUCCUACGGGAGGCAGCAGUGGGGAAUUUUGGACAAUGGGCGAAAGCCUGAUCCAGCAAUGCCGCGUGUGUGAAGAAGGCCUUCGGGUUGUAAAGCACUUUUGUCCGGAAAGAAAUCCUUGGCCCUAAUACGGUCGGGGGAUGACGGUACCGGAAGAAUAAGCACCGGCUAACUACGUG
Molecule: ribosomal RNA, 486 nt
Filed under: uncultured bacterium
Lineage: Bacteria
Description: partial 16S ribosomal RNA
Rfam family: Bacterial small subunit ribosomal RNA
Source: RNAcentral